RNAcentral lists this unclassified non-coding RNA (503 nucleotides) under Hevea brasiliensis (rubber tree). The record is from RNAcentral. Lineage: Eukaryota; Viridiplantae; Streptophyta; Magnoliopsida; Malpighiales; Euphorbiaceae.
GCUCACACAUUUGGAAGAGCUCAAUGCAGAACAUUUAGCCCCCGUUUGUACAACUUCAAUAACACUAAUUCUCCAGACCCAACAUUGAACACAACGUAUCUGCAAACGCUUCAACAAAUAUGUCCACAAGGAGGAAAUGGGAGUGUAAUAACUAAUCUUGAUCUAACAACUCCUGAUACCUUUGAUAAUGAAUAUUUCUCCAAUCUUCUAAUUGGAGAAGGCCUUCUCCAGAGUGAUCAAGAACUAUUUAACACAACUGGGGCUGAUACUGUUGCUAUUGUUCAAAAUUUUAGUGCUAAUCAGACUGCUUUUUUUGAAAGCUUUGUGACGUCCAUGCUCAGAAUGGGAAAUCUCAGCGUUUUAACAGGAACUACUGGAGAGAUUAGAUUGAAUUGCAGCAAAGUUAAUGGAAAUUCAUCAGCUGGAGCAGAAACUCUUCUUGUUAGCUCCAUGUGAUUUAAGAAAAACGUUGUAUGCUAAAAUAAGCUGUCAUGAUUAGACCA